Molecule: RNA transcript, 3508 nt
Organism: Sinocyclocheilus anshuiensis
Lineage: Eukaryota; Metazoa; Chordata; Actinopteri; Cypriniformes; Cyprinidae
Gene: ndrg4
Gene name: NDRG family member 4
Exons: 20
Source: RefSeq, a predicted model, not a curated record
CAGAGCAAAAGAAGGGAGGGGAAGAGUGAGCGAAUGAGGGAGGGUGGAACAGAGGUAGAGAGAUUCACACAGCAUAGCUCUCACUGGGUAGACAGCAUCGCUCCGAAACACACUCACGAGCAAACAAAAAGAGGCUAAACACAUCAGAAUCCUUUAAGACGACAACAGAACACAGUCCUUCAGCAGAGAUGGGGCCUGGAUUGUUCUGGAACUUCCCAUCCAAGACUAGCUGCAUGGUUCCACAGAGCCUGCUGCAGACAAUGUUGCUCUCCAGGAUGGCUGGCAUGAAGGAUCAACAGUUCACUGAAGAGAAACCACUACUGCCAGAAUCCAGGGGACAGGAAACAGAGAUGGCUAAAGGACAGUGUGUGCACGUGCUGCCCUGUGCUACGCCCUCCCCCCCCACGGCUCGUCCCCCAAAACGCUGGCAUGCCAUCGCCCGACACUGGCUCGGCCUGACACGCCUUCGGACCAGCGGGUACUUCCCGGAAAACUGUGAGACCUUUGUGGCAGAAGGAGAUUGGAAGGAACAUGACAUUGAAACCCCUUAUGGGAUGUUGCACGUGGUGAUCCGCGGGGCUCCCAAGGGCAACAAGCCAGCUAUCCUGACCUACCAUGAUGUUGGGCUCAACCACAAGCUGUGCUUCAACACCUUCUUCCACAAUGAAGACAUGCAGGAGAUCACUAAGCAUUUUGUGGUGUGCCACGUAGAUGCCCCAGGCCAGCACAUUGGUGCCCCCCAGAUGCCACAAGGGUAUCAGUAUCCCACCAUGGAUCAGCUAGCUGGGAUGCUUCCUAGUGUGGUGCAACACUUCGGCUUCAAGAGCAUUGUUGGAAUUGGAGUGGGGGCUGGUGCCUACAUCCUAGCCAAAUUUGCGCUGAUUUUCCCCGAUCUUGUGGAGGGUCUGGUUCUACUCAACAUUGACCCCAAUGGGAAGGGAUGGAUCGACUGGGCCGCCACAAAAUUGUCAGGACUCACCAGUACUUUACCAGACACUGUCCUGGCCCACCUCUUCAGCCAGGAAGAGCUUAUGAGCAACACAGAAGUGGUCCAGACUUACCGCCAACAGAUCAAUAACACAAUCAACCAAUUCAACCUACAGCUCUUCUGGAACAUGUACAACAGCCGCAGGGAUUUGGAAAUGAACCGCAGUGGCUCUAUGCUAAAUGCUAAGACCCUGAGGUGCCCAGUCAUGCUGGUCGUUGGUGACAAUGCUCCGGCUGAGGAAGGCGUGGUUGAGUGCAACUCUAAACUGGAUCCAACCAACACCACAUUCCUAAAGAUGGCUGAUUCAGGUGGAAUGCCUCAAAUUACACAGCCUGGAAAACUCACAGAGGCUUUCAAGUACUUCCUGCAGGGAAUGGGUUACAUUGCUUAUAUGAAGGAUCGGAGAAUGAGUGGGGGGCCAGUGCCUUCGGCCAGUAUGACCCGUCUUGCUCGCUCGCGAACGGCCUCUCUGACCAGCGCCGGCUCUGUGGAUGGUUCUCGCAACCGCGCAUGCACGCACUCAGAUAGCAGUGAGGGCAUCGGGCAGGUCAGCCACACCAUGGAAGUGUCCUGCUGAUCCCUCGUGCACUGUCUCACAUGCACACAUUUAGAGAGACGUGGCAUGGAAGGAGGGCGUGAGAAGAAUGGAGGUCUCAUAUUGCUUUCAUUCUUUCUUUCUCAGCCAUUUUCUAUGUCGUUUUCUCUCCGUUUUUCAGUGUUAGCCAUCUUAAAGGAAUAGUUGACUCAAAAAUGAAAAAAUUACCAUCAUUUACUCACCCAGAUGUCUCUAGAAACCCAUAUGACUUGAUUUCUUCUGUAGAACACAAAAUGAGAUGUAUAUAGUCCAAGCAGCUAUUUCCCAUAUGAAAGUGAAUGGUGACCAAAACUGAAUUUCAGUGGAUAACAACUUUUUUUUUUUUUUUUGUGAAUUAGCUUUAGAAGACCUGAAAUGUCAUGCACAGGUCAUGUAAACCACUUUUAUUAUACUUGAGCAUGACAGCACUUGGUCCCCAUCCACUUCCAUGGUAUGGAAGAGAGCAGCUUGGACGUUCUGCUGAACAUCUUUUGUGCUCCACAGAAGAAAUAAAGCCAUACAGGUUUAGAAGAACCUUAGUAUGAGGUUUUCUUUUCGAGCUGAACUAUUCCUUUACCCUGUAAAAUGAAGACUUGCUGUCCUUUUCCCCUUCAAAACAGUGUUUAGUUUCCCCCCAACUUUGUAACGCGGUUACUUAACGCUCUAUGUGUCAGUAUUCUGCACCCUUUGCUCGCUGCCUCUGGCCUUCACCUCCUCCUAAGACAAAACUACAAGUCCCAUCAGCCCCUGCUCUCACUCAUUCCUGUCCUAUGACAGUCUUUGAGGAGAAACUGAUGGAUUGGGUCGCAGGUAGAAGGGGUUGGUCUUGAGGAACAGCAUGAAACAAAGUAAAAGAAAGGAGGGUUCUUAAAGCAGAGAGUGAUUUAUAAGUGACAUUUGUAGCUCUCCCUCUCAAUUUUGAGCGAAAGCAAAGUGAUUGUAUAGUCGAAGAGGGCGAAAAUCUCUUAACCAGUAAACAGUAGCUUUCGGCUAAUCAUCUCAGCUCAUUCAGUCAUUGGGAGGGUAUGUAUCACCACAUACUGUAAGAAAGAAUCGCUUUUUGAUAGAGUUUUUUUGCAUUAUUUGAUACUAUGAUUGGUUUUCUAAUUUAAAAUGUUAUUAAAGCAUGAACAAUGCUUUUGAACUGUUUUUCUCCAUUAAAGUAGGAACAGAAGUUGUAUGACUUGACUUGCCACUGACUUGCCUCAAAAGGUCUUUUUUUCAUGUUAGAAUGCUUCAUUUUACCAUUCCUUUAACAUUAAGCACUAAUACAAUCAAGUGCACUUUCAAAUCAAGUCUCACUUCAUUAAAUACGACAUACCCAGUACCCUUUUAGUGUGCACUCUCUGUCAUAUGAAAGUGGCUUUGCCUGGGAUCGGUUCUGUACGGUCUCCUUUUUAUAGACAAUCAGCUCCUGAUCCAAACCAAACCGGAACCGUCGACUGAGGCAGAGCCUGUGUGAUAGAGUUUGCAUUUUGUGCGUUAGCGGAUCAGAAUCAAGGCUUCACGCUUCCCUUACAGCACCCAGCCCCACACCAAGAAUAUACCAAAGCUACUGAUACAAAUGCACACAUACACAUUUCCCAAUGAGGGCUGGGUUCUGCAAGGUAACAGGGCUUUUGUAUGUAUACACACACACACACACACACACACACACAAUUCAUGUACUUGCAUGCAACUUGCAUAUAAACAACACUGAAAGAUUUAUAUGCAUUAGAAUCGAUCCAUAUUCAGUGCAUGCUUAUUUCAUAAUUUACUAUAGAUCUGUAGAUUCACAUUUACUUAUUUUUUGUGACCCUUGUAACAUUUCCACAUUUUCAUUAUAGUUUGAUCAAUUUCUAAAGUGGUGAAUGGAAACUACAAAUAUAUGUUUUGUGUUCCCAUUUGCUCCAAUAGCAAUAAACAAACAAAAAAAACAAUAGUGUUUCUAUGACGUUACAAAUAUG